Molecule: ribosomal RNA, 1230 nt
Filed under: Salmonella enterica subsp. enterica serovar Enteritidis
Lineage: Bacteria; Pseudomonadati; Pseudomonadota; Gammaproteobacteria; Enterobacterales; Enterobacteriaceae
Description: partial 23S ribosomal RNA
Rfam family: Bacterial large subunit ribosomal RNA
Source: RNAcentral
GGUUAAGCGACUAAGCGUACACGGUGGAUGCCCUGGCAGUCAGAGGCGAUGAAGGGCGUGCUAAUCUGCGAUAAGCGCCGGUAAGGUGAUAUGAACCGUUAUAACCGGCGAUACCCGAAUGGGGAAACCCAGUGUGACUCGUCACACUAUCAUUAACUGAAUCCAUAGGUUAAUGAGGCGAACCGGGGGAACUGAAACAUCUAAGUACCCCGAGGAAAAGAAAUCAACCGAGAUUCCCCCAGUAGCGGCGAGCGAACGGGGAGGAGCCCAGAGCCUGAAUCAGCAUGUGUGUUAGUGGAAGCGUCUGGAAAGGCGCGCGAUACAGGGUGACAGCCCCGUACACAAAAGCGCAUGUGCUGUGAGCUCGAUGAGUAGGGCGGGACACGUGGUAUCCUGUCUGAAUAUGGGGGGACCAUCCUCCAAGGCUAAAUACUCCUGACUGACCGAUAGUGAACCAGUACCGUGAGGGAAAGGCGAAAAGAACCCCGGCGAGGGGAGUGAAAAAGAACCUGAAACCGUGUACGUACAAGCAGUGGGAGCACAGGUUUACCUGUGUGACUGCGUACCUUUUGUAUAAUGGGUCAGCGACUUAUAUUCUGUAGCAAGGUUAACCGAAUAGGGGAGCCGGAGGGAAACCGAGUCUUAAUUGGGCGUUAAGUUGCAGGGUAUAGACCCGAAACCCGGUGAUCUAGCCAUGGGCAGGUUGAAGGUUGGGUAACACUAACUGGAGGACCGAACCGACUAAUGUUGAAAAAUUAGCGGAUGACCUGUGGCUGGGGGUGAAAGGCCAAUCAAACCGGGAGAUAGCUGGUUCUCCCCGAAAGCUAUUUAGGUAGCGCCUCGUGAAUUCAUCUCCGGGGGUAGAGCACUGUUUCGGCUAGGGGGCCAUCCCGGCUUACCAACCCGAUGCAAACUGCGAAUACCGGAGAAUGUUAUCACGGGAGACACACGGCGGGUGCUAACGUCCGUCGUGAAGAGGGAAACAACCCAGACCGCCAGCUAAGGUCCCAAAGUCAUGGUUAAGUGGGAAACGAUGUGGGAAGGCCCAGACAGCCAGGAUGUUGGCUUAGAAGCAGCCAUCAUUUAAAGAAAGCGUAAUAGCUCACUGGUCGAGUCGGCCUGCGCGGAAGAUGUAACGGGGCUAAACCAUGCACCGAAGCUGCGGCAGCGACACUGUGUGUUGUUGGGUAGGGGAGCGUUCUGUAAGCCUGUGAAGGUGUGUCGUGAGGC